RNAcentral lists this long non-coding RNA (3597 nucleotides) under Citrus x clementina. RNAcentral's name for it is "Citrus clementina (C. clementina) long non-coding RNA (CCLE_LNC002170)". Lineage: Eukaryota; Viridiplantae; Streptophyta; Magnoliopsida; Sapindales; Rutaceae. The record is from RNAcentral.
GGUCUUGGCGCCCCGACCUUCGGGGGCUGAAUUUUGGGCGCGGGUGUGCCCGUGGCCUAUUUUUGGCACACGGAGGCCGCCCGCAAAGUCUGGGGCCCCAAGGCUAUAGCCCACCCGUUUUUUGGCCAUUUUUCCGCUGGGGGGUCUUGGCGCCCCGACCUUCGGGGGCUGAAUUUUGGGCGCGGGUGUGCCCGUGGCCUAUUUUUGGCACACGGAGGCCGCCCGCAAAGUCUGGGGCCAUUCCGAGUCCGGCGGACGAACUUCGCCCACGCCCCCCACCAAGGCUAUAGCCCACCCGUUUUUUGCCCAUUUUUCCGCUGGGGGGUCUUGGCGCCCCGACCUUCGGGGGCUGAUUUUUGGGCGCGGGUGUGCCCGUGGCCUAUUUUUGGCACACGGAGGCCGCCCGCAAAGUCUGGGGCCAUUGCGAGUCCGGCGGACGAACUUCGCCCACGCCCCCCACCAAGGCUAUAGCCCACCCGUUUUUUGGCCAUUUUUCCGCUGGGGGUUCUUGGCGCCCCGACCUUCGGGGGCUGAAUUUUGGGCGCGGGUGUGCCCGUGGCCUAUUUUUGGCACACGGAGGCCGCCCGCAAAGUCUGGGGCCAUUCCGAGUCCGGCGGACGAGCUUCGCCCACGCCCCCCACCAAGGCUAUAGCCCACCCGUUUUUUGGCCAUUUUUCCGCUGGGGGGUCUUGGCGCCCCGACCUUCGGGGGCUGAUUUUUGGGCGCGGGUGUGCCCGUGGCCUAUUUUUUGCACACGGAGGCCGCCCGCAAAGUCUGGGGCCAUUCCGAGUCCGGCGGACGAACUUCGCCCACGCCCCCCACCAAGGCUAUAGCCCACCCGUUUUUUGGCCAUUUUUCCGCUGGGGGGUCUUGGCGCCCCGACCUUCGGGGGCUGAUUUUUGGGCGCGGGUGUGCCCGUGGCCUAUUUUUUGCACACGGAGGCCGCCCGCAAAGUCUGGGGCCAUUCCGAGUCCGGCGGACGAACUUCGCCCACGCCCCCCACCAAGGCUAUAGCCCACCCGUUUUUUGGCCAUUUUUCCGCUGGGGGGUCUUGGCGCCCCGACCUUCGGGGGCUGAAUUUUGGGCGCGGGUGUGCCCGUGGCCUAUUUUUGGCACACGGAGGCCGCCCGCAAAGUCUGGGGCCAUUCCGAGUCCGGCGGACGAACUUCGCCCACGCCCCCCACCAAGGCUAUAGCCCACCCGUUUUUUGGCCAUUUUUCCGCUGGGGGGUCUUGGCGCCCCGACCUUCGGGGGCUGAAUUUUGGGCGCGGGUGUGCCCGUGGCCUAUUUUUGGCACACGGAGGCCGCCCGCAAAGUCUGGGGCCAUUCCGAGUCCGGCGGACGAACUUCGCCCACGCCCCCAACCAAGGCUAUAGCCCACCCGUUUUUUGGCCAUUUUUCCGCUGGGGGGUCUUGGCGCCCCGACCUUCGGGGGCUGAUUUUUGGGCGCGGGUGCGCCCGUGGCCUAUUUUUUGCACACGGAGGCCGCCCGCAAAGUCUGGCGCCAUUCCGAGUCCGGCGGACGAACUUCGCCCACGCCCCCCACCAAGGCUAUAGCCCACCCGUUUUUUGGCCAUUUUUCCGCUGGGGGGUCUUGGCUCCCCGACCUUCGGGGGCUGAUUUUUGGGCGCGGGUGUGCCCGUGGCCUAUUUUUGGCACACGGAGGCCGCCCGCAAAGUCUGGGGCCAUUCCGAGUCCGGCGGACGAACUUCGCCCACGCCCCCCACCAAGGCUAUAGCCCACCCGUUUUUUGGCCAUUUUUCCGCUGGGGGGUCUUGGCGCCCCGACCUUCGGGGGCUGAAUUUUGGGCGCGGGUGUGCCCGUGGCCUAUUUUUGGCACACUGAGGCCGCCCGCAAAGUCUGGGGCCAUUCCUAGUCCGGCGGACGAACUUCGCCCACGCCCCCCACCAAGGCUAUAGCCCACCCGUUUUUUGGCCAUUUUUCCGCUGGGGGGUCAUGGCGCCCCGACCUUCGGGGGCUGAAUUUUGGGCGCGGGUGUGCCCGUGGCCUAUUUUUGGCACACGGAGGCCGCCCGCAAAGUCUGGGGCCAUUGCGAGUCCGGCGGACGAACUUCGCCCACGCCCCCCACCAAGGCUAUAGCCCACCCGUUUUUUGGCCAUUUUUCCGCUGGGGGGUCUUGGCGCCCCGACCUUCGGGGGCUGAAUUUUGGGCGCGGGUGUGCCCGUGGCCUAUUUUUGGCACACGGAGGCCGCCCGCAAAGUCUGGGGCCAUUCCGAGUCCGGCGGACGAACUUCGCCCACGCCCCCCACCAAGGCUAUAGCCCACCCGUUUUUUGGCCAUUUUUCCGCUGGGGGGUCUUGGCGCCCCGACCUUCGGGGGCUGAAUUUUGGGCGCGGGUGUGCCCGUGGCCUAUUUUUGGCACACGGAGGCCGCCCGCAAAGUCUGGGGCCAUUCCGAGUCCGGCGGACGAACUUCGCCCACGCCCCCCACCAAGGCUAUAGCCCACCCGUUUUUUGGCCAUUUUUCCGCUGGGGGGUCUUGGCGCCCCGACCUUACGGGGCUGAAUUUUGGGCGCGGGUGUGCCCGUGGCCUAUUUUUGGCACACGGAGGCCGCCCGCAAAGUCUGGGGCCAUUCCGAGUCCGGCGGACGAACUUCGCCCACGCCCCCCACCAAGGCUAUAGCCCACCCGUUUUUUGGCCAUUUUUCCGCUGGGGGGUCUUGGCGCCCCGACCUUCGGGGGCUGAUUUUUGGGCGCGGGUGUGCCCGUGGCCUAUUUUUGGCACACGGAGGCCGCCCGCAAAGUCUGGGGCCAUUCCGAGUCCGGCGGACGAACUUCGCCCACGCCCCCCACCAAGGCUAUAGCCCACCCGUUUUUUGGCCAUUUUUCCGCUGGGGGGUCUUGGCGCCCCGACCUUCGGGGGCUGAUUUUUGGGCGCGGGUGUGCCCGUGGCCUAUUUUUGGCACACGGAGGCCGCCCGCAAAGUCUGGGGCCAUUCCGAGUCCGGCGGACGAACUUCGCCCACGCCCCCCACCAAGGCUAUAGCCCACCCGUUUUUUGGCCAUUUUUCCGCUGGGGGGUCUUGGCGCCCCGACCUUCGGGGGCUGAUUUUUGGGCGCGGGUGUGCCCGUGGCCUAUUUUUGGCACACGGAGGCCGCCCGCAAAGUCUGGGGCCAUUGCGAGUCCGGCGGACGAACUUCGCCCACGCCCCCCACCAAGGCUAUAGCCCACCCGUUUUUUGGCCAUUUUUCCGCUGGGGGGUCUUGGCGCCCCGACCUUCCGGGGCUGAAUUUUGGGCGCGGGUGUGCCCGUGGCCUAUUUUUGGCACACGGAGGCCGCCCGCAAAGUCUGGGGCCAUUCCGAGUCCGGCGGACGAACUUCGCCCACGCCCCCCACCAAGGCUAUAGCCCACCCGUUUUUUGGCCAUUUUUCCGCUGGGGGGUCUUGGCGCCCCGACCUUCGGGGGCUGAAUUUUGGCUGCGGGUGUGCCCGUGGCCUAUUUUUGGCACACGGAGGCCGCCAACAAAGUCUGGGGCCCCAAGGCUAUAGCCCACCCGUUUUUUGGCCAUUUUUCCGCUGGGGGGUCUUGGCGCCCCGACCUUCGGGGGCUGAUUUUUGGGCGCGGGUGUGCCCGUGG